This is a non-coding RNA of Coemansia biformis, 100 nucleotides long. The record is from the annotation of a GenBank genome assembly. Lineage: Eukaryota; Fungi; Kickxellomycota; Kickxellomycetes; Kickxellales; Kickxellaceae.
CCGAAAAUAGCUCAGUUGGUAGAGCGGGAGACUGUAGUGGUUGCCCAUUGGGCAGCAAGUUGUCAUCUCUAGGUCCCUGGUUCAAAUCCGGGUUUUCGGA